AAAGGAAUUGACGGGGACCCGCACAAGCGGUGGAUGAUGUGGAUUAAUUGAUGCAACGCGAAACCCUUACCUACCCCUUGACAUGUCUGGAAUCCCGAAGAGAUUUGGGAGUGCUCGCAAGAGAACCGGAACACAGGUGCUGCAUGGCUGUCGUCAGCUCGUGUCGAGAUGUUGGGUUAAGUCCCGCAACGAGCGCAACCCUUGUCAUUAGUUGCUACGAAAGGGCACUCUAAUGAGACUGCCGGUGACAAACCGAGGAAGGUGGGGAUGAUGCCUAAGUCCUCAUGGCCCUUAUGGCAGGGCUUCACACGUCAUACAAUGGUCGGGACAGAGGGUCGCCAACCCGCGAGGGGGAGCCAAUCCCAGAAACCUGAUCGUAGUCCGGAUCGCAGUCUGCAACUCGACUGCGUGAAGCUCUUGGAAUCGCUAGUAAUCGCGGAUCAGCAUGUCGCGGUGAAUACGUUCCCGGGUCUUGUACACACCGCCCGUCACACCAUGGGAGUGGGUUUUACCAGAAGUAGUUAGCCUAACCGUAAGGAGGGCGAUUACCACGGUAGGAUUCAUCAGGUGGAAGUCGUAACAAGGUAG
Molecule: unclassified non-coding RNA, 588 nt
Filed under: uncultured Bordetella sp.
Lineage: Bacteria; Pseudomonadati; Pseudomonadota; Betaproteobacteria; Burkholderiales; Alcaligenaceae
Description: partial 16S-23S ribosomal RNA intergenic spacer
Rfam family: Bacterial small subunit ribosomal RNA
Source: RNAcentral